This 403-nucleotide ribosomal RNA is filed under the name uncultured bacterium. Its description in RNAcentral is "bacterial SSU rRNA". It matches the Rfam family "Bacterial small subunit ribosomal RNA", at positions 355 to 774 of the family's 1533-position model. The record is from RNAcentral.
UGGGGGAUAUUGCACAAUGGGGGAAACCCUGAUGCAGCGACGCCGCGUGAGGGAAGACGGUCCUCUGGAUUGUAAACCUCUGUCGGUAGGGACGAUAAUGACGGUACCUACCGAGGAAGCUCCGGCUAACUACGUGCCAGCAGCCGCGGUAAUACGUAGGGAGCGAGCGUUGUCCGGAAUUAUUGGGUUUAAAGGGUGCGUAGGCUGUUAUGUAAGUCAGCGGUGAAAUACCUAAGCUCAACUUAGGGGCUGCCGUUGAUACUGCAUAGCUGGAAUAUGGUUGCUGUUGGCGGAAUGUGUAGUGUAGCGGUGAAAUGCAUUGAUAUUACACAGAACACCUAUUGCGAAGGCAGCUGACAAAACCAUUAUUGACGCUGAGGCACGAAAGUGUGGGGAUCAAACA